UACGGAGGGUGCGAGCGUUGUCCGGAGUCACUGGGCGUAAAGGGCGCGUAGGCGGCGCGGAUAGUCGGCGGUGAAAGCCCGGAGCUCAACUCCGGGUCGGCCGUCGAUACUUCCGGGCUUGAGCACUGUAGAGGCAGAUGGAAUUCCGGGUGUAGCGGUGGAAUGCGUAGAGAUCCGGAAGAACACCGGUGGCGAAGGCGGCCUGCUGGGCAGUGGCUGACGCUGAGGCGCGACAGCGUGGGGAGCAAACAGG
This 253-nucleotide ribosomal RNA is filed under the name uncultured bacterium. RNAcentral describes it as "partial 16S ribosomal RNA". It matches the Rfam family "Bacterial small subunit ribosomal RNA", at positions 524 to 776 of the family's 1533-position model. The record is from RNAcentral.